Molecule: unclassified non-coding RNA, 342 nt
Filed under: Hevea brasiliensis (rubber tree)
Lineage: Eukaryota; Viridiplantae; Streptophyta; Magnoliopsida; Malpighiales; Euphorbiaceae
Source: RNAcentral
GGAAGCUGAAGUUUUGGUUUUAGUUAACAUAAAUUAGUUGGGUAUCAAUGUAAAUUCUCUUAAUGUGUGAUGCAUCUUAAGGCAAGUGAUAAUUUCAGCCAGUCCCUUAGAGGUUUGUAUGUUAUAUGUGAUCUGCUCAUUAUAACUUUAAAAUCUACAUCUUAGCUUAUGUCCCAAAUGGCACAGGGGAAUUGAAAUAGACUGGAUAGAAUUGGUGUUUUCUAUAUCACUGGGCUUAUAUCUAAUGUUCUUAUUAUCUAAAUAAAGAGAAUACCAGCAAACUCUCAGACCGAAAAUGAUCAGUUUAUACCUCAUUUAUAAGAAGGAAGUGUUCUUCCUUAG